Long non-coding RNA from Penaeus monodon (black tiger shrimp), 291 nucleotides. RefSeq lists it as uncharacterized. Lineage: Eukaryota; Metazoa; Arthropoda; Malacostraca; Decapoda; Penaeidae. The record is from RefSeq and is a predicted model, not a curated record. The transcript is spliced from 3 exons.
GGGAGUGAGAGCCGUCUAGUGCCGCUACAUGAUCUUCCUGAGGCGAGUGUUGGCUCCAAUUUCAGUGAUUUGCAAGAGCGGGGUGGAUUCCUUCAGCUGGAUGAAGGUAUGGUCGCAGUUAAUCAGGUUGGAGGAGACAUAGGGCAGGCUGGGGUCAUAUUGGCAAAUGCUGGCGAGUGCCUUACACAAAAGGAUGGAACAAUUCCUCAGUUUGCCUCCUUUAGUAUUGUCGAUGAUCAGAUGGUGCUGACUGCAACUGAGGCUGGAGUAGAUGACACAGUCACACUGGAG